RNAcentral lists this ribosomal RNA (330 nucleotides) under uncultured eukaryote. Its description in RNAcentral is "partial 18S ribosomal RNA". It matches the Rfam family "Eukaryotic small subunit ribosomal RNA", at positions 1470 to 1796 of the family's 1831-position model. The record is from RNAcentral.
CCCUUAGAUGUUCGGGGCCGCACGCGCGCUACACUGAAGGACUCAGCGUGUCUCUCCCCCUAUCCCGAAAGGGAUGGGCAACCCGUUGAACCUCCUUCGUGCUAGGGAUUGGGGUUUGCAAUUAUCCCCCAUGAACGAGGAAUUCCCAGUAAGUGCGGGUCAUCAGCUCGCGUUGAUUACGUCCCUGCCCUUUGUACACACCGCCCGUCGCUGCCCGGAACUGAGCCGUUUCGAGAAGACUGAGGAUUGCUGACUUGAGGCCUUCACGGGCUUCUAGUCGGUGAAAAUCAAUUUAAUCGCAGCGGCUUGAACCGGGCAAAAGUCGUAACA